GAAAACCCGUUGACGGGAAAGAGUAAUUUACUCACGUAAAACAAAGCGAGCCGAGUUUGGUGAAAGUCGGUAUUUACACGUAAAUGAAAAUCAUCCCUGAGGUGCAACACUGAAUUAAUUAAGUGUUGACGUCAUUUCCACGUUAAAGGAAACGCGUAUGUUGGUACGUUGUAGAGCGUCUGAAUAAUUUCAGAAACCUGGGUGGUAACGCGGAUUCUUCCGUCCCUCGA
RNAcentral lists this non-coding RNA (230 nucleotides) under Veillonellaceae bacterium. RNAcentral's name for it is "T-box sequence". It matches the Rfam family "T-box leader". From Rfam's summary of the family: Uncharged tRNA acts as the effector for transcription antitermination of genes in the T-box leader family. T-boxes are found upstream of many aminoacyl-tRNA synthetase genes and some amino acid biosynthetic genes usually in Gram-positive bacteria. The anticodon of a specific tRNA base pairs to a specifier sequence within the T-box motif, and the NCCA acceptor tail of the tRNA base pairs to a conserved bulge in the T-box antiterminator hairpin. The record is from RNAcentral. Lineage: Bacteria; Bacillati; Bacillota; Negativicutes; Veillonellales; Veillonellaceae.